Molecule: ribosomal RNA, 530 nt
Filed under: uncultured bacterium
Lineage: Bacteria
Description: bacterial SSU rRNA
Rfam family: Bacterial small subunit ribosomal RNA
Source: RNAcentral
UGGGGAAUCUUGGACAAUGGGGGCAACCCUGAUCCAGCCAUGCCGCGUGAGUGAUGAAGGCCUUAGGGUCGUAAAGCUCUUUCGCCUGUGAAGAUAAUGACGGUAGCCGGAGAAGAAGCCCCGGCUAACUCCGUGCCAGCAGCCGCGGUAAUACGGAGGGGGUUAGCGUUGUUCGGAAUUACUGGGCGUAAAGCGCACGUAGGCGGACCAGAAAGUUGGGGGUGAAAUCCCGGGGGCUCAACCCCGGAACUGCCUCCAAAACUAUUGGUCUAGAGUUCGAGAGAGGUGAGUGGAAUUCCAAGUGUAGAGGUGAAAUUCGUAGAUAUUUGGAGGAACACCAGUGGCGAAGGCGGCUCACUGGCUCGAUACUGACGCUGAGGUGCGAAAAGUGUGGGGAGCAAAACAGGAUUAGAUACCCUGGUAGUCCACACCGUAAAACGAUGAAUGCCAGUCGUCGGGUAGCAUGCUAUUCGGUGACACACCUAACGGAUUAAGCAUUCCGCCUGGGGAGUACGGUCGCAAGAUUAAAA